CGAGACCGGAGGAUGUUCCCUGCUCAGGAGGAGGCCGACAGGACCGUGUUUGUUGGGAAUUUAGAGGCCCGAGUUCGGGAAGAGAUUCUGUACGAGCUGUUCCUUCAGGUACCGUCUCUGGGAAGGGGCGGCGGAGGGGCGGAGCACGUCGGGCCGGAAACAUAGCGCGCACCUGGACCACCCGGAGCCCGGCCCCCUUCCGUCCCAUCCUGAGCAGGGGUUUUAAUUUCGUUUCCUCUUGGCGCACCUGUCUCCAGGCGGGGCCACUAACCAAAGUGACUAUAUGCAAAGACAGAGAAGGAAAGCCAAAGUCUUUUGGAUUUGUCUGCUUUAAACACCCAGAAUCGGUGUCUUAUGCCAUAGCUUUGCUGAAUGGAAUUCGUUUAUAUGGAAGACCAAUUAACGUGCAGUAUCGAUUUGGGAGUUCUCGCUCUUCUGAACCAGCUAACCAAAGUUUUGAGAGCUGUGUUAAGAUAAAUUCACACAACUACAGGAAUGAAGAAAUGUUGGUGGGCAGAUCUUCCUUUCCCAUGCAGUAUUUUCCAAUUAAUAAUACUUCUUUACCUCAAGAAUAUUUUCUCUUUCAGAAGAUGCAGUGGCAUGUGUAUAAUCCAGUGCUGCAGCUUCCUUACUAUGAAAUGACAGCUCCACUUCCUAAUAGUGCAUCCGUGUCUUCCUCACUGAAUCAUGUUCCAGAUCUUGAGGCUGGACCCAGCUCAUAUAAAUGGACUCACCAACAACCAAGUGACUCUGACCUUUAUCAGAUGACAGCUCCACUUCCUAAUAGUGCAUCCGUGUCUUCCUCACUGAAUCAUGUUCCAGAUCUUGAGGCUGGACCCAGCUCAUAUAAAUGGACUCACCAACAACCAAGUGACUCUGACCUUUAUCAGAUGAAUAAACGAAAGAGACAAAAGCAAACAAGUGAUAGUGAUAGUAGCACAGACAACAACAGAGGCAACGAAUGUAGCC
This 969-nucleotide long non-coding RNA is filed under the name Homo sapiens (human). RNAcentral describes it as "long non-coding RNA NONHSAT190680.1". The record is from RNAcentral. Lineage: Eukaryota; Metazoa; Chordata; Mammalia; Primates; Hominidae.